Long non-coding RNA from Gopherus flavomarginatus (Mexican gopher tortoise), 982 nucleotides. RefSeq lists it as uncharacterized. The transcript has 5 exons. The record is from RefSeq and is a predicted model, not a curated record. Lineage: Eukaryota; Metazoa; Chordata; Testudines; Testudinidae.
GGCAGUACCAGGUUAGAACCAAGAGGCAGGAGUCGGGAUCAGAGUCAGGCCGGGGUCAGAGACCAGAGAUCAGGGCAGUACCGGGUUAGAACCAAGAGGCAGGAGUCGGGGUCAGAGUCAGGCUGGGGUCAGAGACCAGAGAUCGGGGCAGUACCGGGUUAGAACCGAGAGGCAGGAGUCGGGGUCGGGGUCAGUGUCAGGCCGGGGUCAGAGACCAGAGAUCAGGGCAGUACCAGGUUAGAACCGAGAGGCAGGAGUCGGGGUCAGAGUCAGGCUGGGGUCAGAGACCAGAGAUCGGGGCAUUACCAGGUUAGAACCGAGAGGCAGGAGUCGGGGUCAGAGUCAGGCUGGGGUCAGAGACCAGAGAUCGGAGCAGUACUGGGUUAGAACCGAGAGGCAGAAGUCGGGGUCAGAGUCAGGCCGGGGUCAGAGACCAGAGAUCGGGGCAUUACCGGGUUAGAACCAAGAGGCAGGAGUCGGGAUCAGAGUCAGGCUGGGGUCAGAGACCAGAGAUCGGGGCAGUACCAGGUUAGAACCGAGAGGCAGGAGUCGGGGUCAGAGUCAGGCUGGGGUCAGAGACCAGAGAUCUGGGCAGUACCAGGUUAAAACCGAGAGGCAGGAGUCGGGGUCAGAGUCAGGCCGGGGUCAGAGACCAGAGAUCAGGCAGCACUGGGUUAGAACCAAGAGGCAGGAGUCGGAGUCAGAGUCAGGCCGAAGUCAGAGACCAGAGAUCAGGCAGCACUGCGUUAGAACCAAGAGGCAGGAGUCGGGGUCAGAGUCAGGUUGGGGUCAGAGACCAGAGAUCAGAGGUAGUACUCCACUCAGAUGAAACUUUGUGGGAAAGGGUGACCCUAAGUGAUCCCAGUGCCAGACGGCAAGGGGCUCCCCCAGAUCAGCUGAGGAGACCAGCUCCAUGCACCCCAGCUCACUGUGCCUCUAACCUGUAUCUACCAGGUCUCAUGUCAUAUGUCACUGGGAAACU